Molecule: long non-coding RNA, 819 nt
Filed under: Cricetulus griseus (Chinese hamster)
Lineage: Eukaryota; Metazoa; Chordata; Mammalia; Rodentia; Cricetidae
Description: lncRNA (ENSCGRG00015039587.1)
Source: RNAcentral
CUAUUUUGCUAUUUGGAAGAUAAAUUUGUCACUUGUGUUUUUUUUUUGUUUGUUUGUUUUUUUUUUUGUCACUUGACACAAGCUAGUGUCACUAGGAAGACAUAAAAUGCUGAUUGGCCAUUUGCCAGGCAGGAAGUAUAGGCGGGGCUACCAGACUAGGAGAAAGCUGGAAAGAGGAAGUGGUCACCAGCCAGAUGCAGAGGAAACAAGAUGGGAAUGCCUUACUGAGAAAAGCAGUCUUUCUGGCUGGAGAGAUGGCUCAGCGUUUAAGAGCACUGGCUGCUCUUCCAGAGGAUCCGGAUUCAAUUCCCAGCAGCCCACAUUGACAGUUUACAACUGUCUGUAACUCCAGCUCCAGUCUUUCCUAAGCCAUGACAGGAGAAUAUAGCUAUGGGAUCAAACUGGCCAGGAGAAAAAUGAGAAUUCAAAGAUAAUAUCUUGAGUCAACUUCCUGUUGCCUUCUGAUCAAGAUGUAGCCCACACCAUGUCUGGUUGAACACCAUCAUGCUCCCCACCAUGAUGAUAAUGGACUGAACCUCUGAAACUACUCCCCAAGACAGAAGCAAGCUGGCGUGUAUCAAUGUGACAGGAGAGCAGACAGGGUUUCUCUGUGGCUUUGGAGCCUAUCCUGGAACUAGCUCUUGUAGACCAGGCUGGUCUUGAACUCACAGAGAUCCACCUGCCUCUGCCUCCCGAGUGCUGGGAUUAAAGGCGUGUGUCACCAAUGCCCGACUGCAUGUAGGAAUCUUACAAGCUCUCUGCAGCAUGGUAGAAGCACAAAGGAAUGUCUACCCACAAAUUGUUCAUACAAUUUUCCAG